Oncorhynchus mykiss (rainbow trout) is the source of this 2846-nucleotide non-coding RNA. The record is from RefSeq and is a predicted model, not a curated record. Lineage: Eukaryota; Metazoa; Chordata; Actinopteri; Salmoniformes; Salmonidae.
CAUAAGACUGCUGAACAGUUAAUCAAAUGACUACCCGGUCUUUAUGCUUUUCACCCCUACCUACAUGUACAAUGUGUUCAAUCACUCACCUAAUCAAACCUAAGUAUUACCUCAAUCAAUCACUCCAACUACUUUGUACAUUGACUUGGAACCAGAACUCCUUGUAUAUAGCCUCGUUAUUGUUAUUUUGUGUUAUUUUAUUGUGUUACUUUUUUCUUGAUCUAUUUGUUAAUUUUCUUACUUUGUUGAGAAUGUGUUCAUAAGUAAGCAUGUCACGGUAAAGUCUACACUUGUUGUAUUCUGCACAUGUGACAAAUACAUUUUUUUUGACACACCACAGUGUCUGUUUUCAGAUGUUUUAACUAGCCCUGAUAUCACAAGCACGGACUAUUUCCCACACAAUUUCUCCCAUCCAGAAAGGAGCUGAUUUCACAUGUUCUAACUAAGUCUGUAACCAUAGGAUCAGAAAAACACACACCGUACAAAAGGACUUAGCUGUAUGACAAGAGUACAUGCCAUAUCUGGCAUAUUGGUGUUUUUUUGUGAACACGAAACCAAUCCAGUUGUCGGACAAUCGGUGGGACACACACGCCAGCCCCACUCCUCCUCUCCUUUACCCUUUUCAGAUUCCGAACAUACCGGUCCUGAAUCUUUCUACAUGUUUCUAUGACAUCAGUAAAUGUUGUUACACAGUAUCUCCCGCCAGCUGUUGCCUUUUGUGUGCUUGUCUGAAUACAACCGCAUUGAAGGGUUGUAAAGGUUCUUGUAUUGUCUCACCAGCUCACACAGACGCUCCUCAAAACUGGACAGAGUCGGACAUAAUUGCAGAUAGCAAAUCUCGAAAUAAAAGCACAAAAAAGGAAGCUUGCAAGUAGUAGAAGCGAAGUAGCAGAAUAUCCAUCUUUCGUGUUUAUAUCACAAGGGAUUCCGGAAAAUAUGUGAUGUAGACACAGGGGCGGGACUCAAUCAAUACUUAGCCCUCAGUCUUCACAUGGAAUGAUACGUUGUGCAUCAAUUUCCAGAUAGAAAAAAAACUGUUGAACGACGGAGCAUAUUACAAGGAGCCGUGUGACGAAAAACGUUGGCCCUUUUUGCAUACUUUGUGUAGACCCUUUAAGAGAGCUCCUCGAUGAGCUUGAAACCUUGAUAAGCUCAUUUCCUGAUGGCUCACCGCUCUUCGUACUUCGCGACUUCAACGUCCCAACGUCUUUCGAUACAUUUAUUUCCUCACCUUGCCUUUUUUGACACCACUCUUUCCCAGUCUCUCCCCCCACCCCCACUCACAAGGCAGGCAAAAUGCUUGACUUCAUCUUUACUAGAGGCCUACUAAUCUCACUGCAACCCCCUCCAGGUCUCAACCCCCUCCAGAUCACUACUUUGUUUUCUUUUCUGUCUCCCUCUCCUCUAACCCUAGUCACUCAGCCCCUACCCAGAUGGUCAUGCGUGGUCAAAAUCUUUGCUCUUUCUCUCCCACUACUCUCUCCUCUUCUAUCCUAUCAUCUCUCCCUUCUGCUAAAUAUUUCUCACGCCUGUCUCCUGAUUCUGCCUCUUUGACCCUACUCUCUUCCCUUUUUGCAUCUUAUGACUCACACUGUCCCCUUUCAUCCUGGCCGGCUUGGCCCUCCCCUCCUGCUGUGUGGCUAAGUGACUCAUUGCAGCUUACAGAACAGUGCUGCAGGCAGCUGAGUGAAAAUGGAGGAAAACUAAACUUCCAGGGACCUUGCACUCCCUCAUCUCUAACUUCUCUUCCUCUGUAUCUGCUGCUACAGCCACCUUCUAUCAUUCUAAAUGUCAAGCUUCUGUCUCUAACCCUAGGAAACUAUUUUACACCUUCUGCUCCCUCCUUAAUCCUCCACCCCCUCCCUCCCUUCCUCUCUGUGGACGGUUGAUGACAUCCACUCCUCAUUCACUCAGCCUAUUGAGUCCACUGGUCCCACUCACACAGAACUACCCUACACCUUUGAACUCUUUCUCCCCUUUCUCUUCAGAUGAAAUCCUGUGACUAGUGAGGUCCGGCCGCCCAACAACUUGCACGCUCGACCCGAUCCUCUCCUCGAGACCAACUCUGGAGAACUACCAUGCAUCACUUCCCUCAUCAACUUAUCCCUGACCACUGGCUGGUUCCCCACUGACUUCAAAAUAUCCAGACCGAUCUAUCCGCUGCCUUCAAUAUCGUGAAACAUCAGAUCCUCCUCUCCACCCUGUCAGGGCUGGGCAUCUCAGGCUUUGCACACCUGGAUUGCAUCCUAUAUGACAGGCCACUCCUACCAGGUGGCGACACACAUCUCUGUAUGCCUGGCAGAUACUGUAUCUCCGCUUGGAUGUCGGCCCACCACCUCAAGCUCAACUUCGAAAAGACCGAACGUCUCCUCCUCCCAGGCCUUCCCACUCCAAAACCUUACCAUCACUGUUGACAACUCUACGGUCUCCCCCUACCAUAGUGCAAAGAACCUUGGCAUGACCCUGGACAACACCAUGUCAUUCUCUGCAACAUCUGUAGAGUAUGACCCUACCUCACACAGGAAGUGGCGCAGGUCUUAAUCCAUGCACUUGUCAUCUACCAUCUGGACUUCUGGAACUCGCUGUUGGCUGGGCUUCCCGCUUGUGCCAUCAAACCUCUGCAACUUAUCCAGAAUGCUGCAGCCCGCCUGGUGUUCAAUUUUCCCAAGUUCUCCCAUGUCACCAGCUCCCCCCACACACUCCACUGGCUUACAGUCGAAGCUUGUAUCCACUACAAGACAAUGGUACUUGCCUACGGAGCAGCAAGAGGAUCUGCCCCUCCCUACCUUCAGGCUAUGCUCAAAUCCUACACCCCAACCCGAGCACUCUGUUCUGCCACCUCUGGU